UUAAAUAAUUAUUCAUUUGAGUAAGCUUUCACAUUAGAAAAGUGUUGCUGUAGAAAAUUGUAGCAACGGUUAUGGAUUAUAAAUAUUUUAUUGUAACAGUUUAUAUUAUUAUUUGUUCUUUUUAGUUUUUCUAUGAGAUAUUGCAACACUUAUUGAUCAAGAAACUAAAAUGUGUUAAAAACAUUAAAAAUAAAAAUUAGGUUAAAAACAUUAAAAAUAAAAAACAGGCUAAUUUUUUCAAUAGAGGUCUUUUUUUCCUUCCUCCCUCCCACGUACAACAUAAAAUUUUCUCCCUAAACCCUUUCAUCUUCUUCGUUUACUUUUUUCUAUCCGUUUCAUCCUCUUUCAACCUUUUUCAUCUUCAUUCUUUCAAACAAGGGGAUUAGAGAUUGGGUAUGUACACAGGCGAUUUGAUAUUUACAUUGGCGAUUGGCCUCUGAAUUGGAGUUUCAAAAAGUUAGUGAUUGGCGUUCUAAAUUGGAGAAGUACAAGGUUUGUUUAAAUAUUUCUCUUCAGGUUUGGUCUUAAAUUUCCCAAUUUAAGCUGUAUUUUAUAUUGUUAAUCGACUAUAGCUGGAGAUUUGUGUGUGGUUUUAAGGCUUAAAUUAGGGUUUCUUAAUUAGUGAAUUAUUAUGAUUUGAUUUUUAAUGAAUAUCCUUGUUCUGGCACUUUGAUUUUUAAUGAUUUGAUUUUUUAAAUCUAAUUCCAGAAUUAAGUUUGAAUUUUCUAUGUAUGUCAUUUUGAUUCUAAUUUCUUUACCCUAUUCGAUUGAAUUCAUGGUCAUCCUGGAUAUGUAAUUUUGAGACUGUAAUCUGUUCAUUCGUAUGAUUUAAUAGGGAAUUUUCUUUUUUGAGUCCAGAAUGUCAAUCAAGUGUAUGACCUGAUUGUUUAUUUUUCUAAUUUAUGAACUUGCUAGAAUUUUUGAGCAUGCUAAUUUCACUAAAAUGCCAAAAACUAUGGGUAGACUUGAUGAAUGUUUAUAGUAAAAUGAUUGAUAUUGGUAAAUUUAUGUUCUGAAAGUUGAUGCACCUACUAUGUAGAAGAUUAUGAGUAUCUUCGUGCUGCCACUUAUUCGUUGAUGUUUACUAUUUUGAUUGUUUAUUUGCUUAGAAGUUCUGCAUAAAUCUCUUAUUUUUUGUAAAGUUAGUUGGUGGUGGUUUACUCCACCUGAAGUGAAUUUUGUUGAAAAAGAAAUCUUUUAUUUUGUCAAAAACAACUUUUGACAUGUUUCCUUUUUUUCCCAUUUUCCAUCUUUAGUUUUUUCAUUUUACGUAAAACAUGUCUGUAGCAGUAUUGCAAUAUUAGACUAUCCCCGAUUGUUUAUAACUUCAUGUAAAAAGUUCCACAACCCUGACUGGAUCUACUAUGGACCUGUUUUUUCUUCUUUUCCUUUUUGCAACAAGACUCAAAUGGUGUUUCUGUUUGUUUGUUCCAGGGGGGUCUUAAUAGUUUUUGUCAAAAAAUAGAUAUAUAAGUAUCUCAUUAUUAUCUCUUUUUGUCCCUCUCUCCCUUGGAUACGGUCCCUAGGUGUUUUAUUUUCUAGCUUGAUCUCAUUUGCAGCCACGACUUCCUUUCCAUCUUCAAAAAUUACUCUUGCAUUUUCGAAGUUUGAGACACGAACCAAGGAACACCUAUGUAUUAACAAAGAGCUUGAGUGAUCUUGCAUGUAUGAGAGUCUGUACAUUCUCUUCCAUAGUUGAAUAUAACAUCUUCUCCAGCAGUACUAAUGAACAUUUCUUAUAGCAGCCAUGUUCUUUGUACUUUAGUCAACAACCUCCAUCUUACCGUCCUCUUUUGCUUCUAGUGUCUACAAAAAUUGAGCUCACAGCUCACAGUAACAGCUCCAGCAUUUAUGCUGACAGCCAGCAGUUACCGAGUGCUUGAACAACUCUCAGAUGUUCUUCCUCAGUACCUGAAGCCAAAACACCCCCUCCAUAACAGGAGUAACAGCAUGAGAGACACCACCAACACCUUGGAUAGCUUCAUCAAAGCUUCCUUCCACCAUCAAAUCAGCUUUGGCGAUUCUGAGUUUCUCUUUAGCUCCCUACAUUUCCCAUAAAAAUCCCACCUUCUCAAUAUUUUCUAUUCCCAUAAUUUUGAUAACUGGACAUGUAUGAUUUGUAAAAAAGUAUAGUGCGUCUAGAAUAAAUAUCAUACAAAUACAGAUGUGUUAGGGAGUUAUGAACCUAGGUUUCGGGAGUGAUAACUACAGUAUGUCCCCUUCAGAGCAGUGAUUCUACCAGGUUUGCUGCUAUGAGCCCGUAUCACCAGUCACACAAUAUAACGACAUCUUGAUCUGAAUGUUGUUUAUGCCUUCCUAAUUCCUAUAAAGCUAUUUAUGUUCAUCAAAUAUGAUGUGGUCAGGUAUAUAUGUCAUUAUCUUAGCGUUCUAACACCAUUUAUUUUUAUUUUUAAAGGUUUAGAGUAAUUAUAUUUAUAUGUAUAGUUAACACGAGUAGGUUGAUCAAUCAAACGAUGCACAAACGACACUAUAUUAGUCUAUGUUAGAUAUGACACAGAAGAGUUCACAACAUCAUUUAAUUUUAAAAUGAAAAUGAGCUCUAAUACUAUGUUUUGUGUAUAUAUUGUGGUUGAUAGAAGAAAGAAUUCCUCCAGUUCUCACCUAGAUGAAAAUCAUGAGAUAGAGAUGGUAGGACAGGGCAAGGCCUGAUAGAUGGGUAUAUAUGUUAAAAUUAUCAAAGAUAUGGCCUGGGCUUCCUCUGAACCAAGAGAUGAUCGAUACUCGAGGUUUAUGGUAAAAAGGUACAUUUACUUGGUGAUUAAUAAUAAGUAUUUGAUAGGCUCUACAACUAUCUUAUAUAAACUAUCGAGAGAGGGUUUAUUUACAUUGUCUAAAGAGCGAGUUCAAACAGGAGAGAUCUUAUUCCAACCUCAACUUGGUGGAGUGGUGGUGCAUAUAUUCAAGAAUUACAAGCUACUUUAAAUAUGUGAAGAACUAUAGGGUUGUUGGAACAUUAAUGUUAGAUAUGUCUUAAAAAUUAGAGCUAUCCGUGAUUGCAACAUUUUUAUUUAUUUUAAUUGAUGUAGUUUUAGAACCAAUAUGUAACUAUUGAGAUAAUUGUAAUAGAUAUUAUUCUUAUGAAUUUAAUUUAUUUGAAUCGUG
Long non-coding RNA from Spinacia oleracea (spinach), 3123 nucleotides. RefSeq lists it as uncharacterized. The record is from RefSeq and is a predicted model, not a curated record. NCBI's taxonomy places the organism in Eukaryota, Viridiplantae, Streptophyta, Magnoliopsida, Caryophyllales, Amaranthaceae. The transcript is spliced from 3 exons.